ACCCGCUGAAUUUAAGCAUAUAAGUAAGCGGAGGAAAAGAAACUAAAUAGGAUUCCCUCAGUAAUGGCGAAUGAACAGGGAUGAGCUCAGUAUGGAAAUUGGGGCCUGUGGCCUUGAAUUGUAGUCUGGAGAUGUACCACCAACUGGGGCGCAGAUGUAAGCCUCUUGGAAAAGAGCAUCAAUGAGGGUGAGAGUCCCGCUUGGCAUCUGCAGUCCCCAGUGCACGGUGUACCUUCUAAGAGUCACGUUCCUCGGGAUUGGAGCGCAAAUCGGGUGGUAAGUUUCAUCUAAAGCUAAAUAUUGUUUCGAGACCGAUAGCAAACAAGUACCAUGAGGGAAAGGUGAAAAGGACUUUGAAAAGAGAGUUAAAAGUGCCUGAAAUUGCUGAAAGGGAAGCGAAUGGAAUCAGCGUAACUUGGUGAGAUUGCUGCGUGUCAAUGUGAUUGCUUGCUGCUUCAACGUAAGUGUUGUAGUAAGUCUUGAGCAGGACAUGCGCGGUGCUUCUUGCCUUGUGUGUCACCGUCAGUUCGCAGCUGAGGAAAACUUCAAGGACAUGGUAGCCUGUCUCCGGACGGGUGAAUGUGUUUGCUGGAACUCAUUUGUGGAUUGCUUGGUGACUAAAUGGUUCCAUCUGACCCGUCUUGAAACACGGACCAAGG
This 659-nucleotide ribosomal RNA is filed under the name Scrippsiella trochoidea. RNAcentral's name for it is "LSU rRNA". It matches the Rfam family "Eukaryotic large subunit ribosomal RNA", at positions 23 to 671 of the family's 3401-position model. The record is from RNAcentral. Lineage: Eukaryota; Dinophyceae; Peridiniales; Peridiniaceae.